Molecule: ribosomal RNA, 493 nt
Filed under: uncultured bacterium
Lineage: Bacteria
Description: partial 16S ribosomal RNA
Rfam family: Bacterial small subunit ribosomal RNA
Source: RNAcentral
AUUGAACGCUGGCGGCAUGCCUUACACAUGCAAGUCGAACGGUAACAGGUUAAGCUGACGAGUGGCGAACGGGUGAGUAAUGUAUCGGAACGUGCCCAGUCGUGGGGGAUAACUGCUCGAAAGAGCAGCUAAUACCGCAUACGACCUGGGGGUGAAAGCGGGGGAUCGCAAGACCUCGCGCGAUUGGAGCGGCCGAUAUCAGAUUAGGUAGUUGGUGAGGUAAAGGCUCACCAAGCCGACGAUCUGUAGCUGGUCUGAGAGGACGACCAGCCACACUGGGACUGAGACACGGCCCAGACUCCGACGGGAGGCAGCAGUGGGGAAUUUUGGACAAUGGGCGCAAGCCUGAUCCAGCCAUGCCGCGUGCGGGAAGAAGGCCUUCGGGUUGUAAACCGCUUUUGUCAGGGAAGAAAAGGUUCUGGCUAAUACCUGGGACUCAUGACGGUACCUGAAGAAUAAGCACCGGCUAACUACGUGCCAGCCGCCGCGGUAA